This 776-nucleotide unclassified non-coding RNA is filed under the name Hevea brasiliensis (rubber tree). The record is from RNAcentral. Lineage: Eukaryota; Viridiplantae; Streptophyta; Magnoliopsida; Malpighiales; Euphorbiaceae.
AAAUGCAUAUGUUUUCAAUUGGUUGGCAUCAUGCAACUCUUUUCACUGCCACAAAGACUGGUUGAGAGCAUUUCCUUUCUAAUCCUAACUGUUGGAGCCAAGAAAAGUUUAUAAAACCUUGUCAUCUCACUCUUCUUCUGAAUUUUGUUAUGAACAUUUUUUUGAGCAUUUCCUCUUAUGAUCAAUUUAGAACCUUGGAUUAUUAUACUAUACUUAAUGCUCCUAGGCUAUUUCUUUUCUUUUUUAAGAUAUACACAUGCAUGUAUAUGACAAUGUGCAUACACCAGGUAAUCAAAAUCUCCUAUCGAAAUAAUAUUUAAUUUCAAUUACUCUUCUUAGUGAAGUUGGAGUUAAAUAUAAUCUUGAGAAUCUUAGGAGGUAUUCAAAAUCAAAUUAAUUACACAGGAAAUAUUGAUGAAGUGCCUAGUAUUUAUUUCAUGUGGAUUAAUAUCCUAAAGGUUGCUUCGUUAAAUGACCACUGCAGAAUUUUUAUUUAUAUAUGAAUUUAUAUUUGAUAAUGGGGAUGGAAUUCAACCUUUAGCCUCGAGCUCAGAGGAGCUGUGGCAACUAACUAGGUUAUGCCUGGGCCAUUGACCAACUCAGAGGUGGGUGUAUGUGAAUCAUGUCAUGGAUGUCCAUUGAGUUUCCAUUUUUGUUUCAAGUGUGCAGAUUUGGUAUUGCAUGAGAUAAAAGAACAAAGACUGCUGGUCAUUUUAGCACUGUUGUUGGAGCUGUUGUUGAAAAAAUACCUCCUUAAAUAUGUUAGUUAGAGGGUA